Molecule: ribosomal RNA, 442 nt
Filed under: uncultured bacterium
Lineage: Bacteria
Description: partial 16S ribosomal RNA
Rfam family: Bacterial small subunit ribosomal RNA
Source: RNAcentral
CCUACGGGGGGCAGCAGUGGGGAAUAUUGGGCAAUGGGCGCAAGCCUGACCCAGCAACGCCGCGUGAAGGAAGAAGGCUCUCGGGUUGUAAACUUCCUUUAAGAGGGAAGAGCAGAAGACGGUACCUCUUGAAUAAGCCACGGCUAACUACGUGCCAGCAGCCGCGGUAAUACGUAGGUGGCAAGCGUUGUCCGGAUUUACUGGGUGUAAAGGGCGUGUAGCCGGGCUGACAAGUCAGGUGUGAAAUUCCGGGGGUCAACCCCGGACCUGCAGUUGAAACUGUUGGUCUUGAGUAUCGGAGAGGCAGGCGGAAUUCCUGGGGUAGCGGUGAAAUGCGUAGAUAUUAGGAGGAACACCAGUGGCGAAGGCGGCCUGCUGGACGACAACUGACGGUGAGGCGCGAAAGCGUGGGGAGCAAACAGGAUUAGAUACCCGAGUAGUC